CCUACGGGAGGCAGCAGUGGGGAAUAUUGGGCAAUGGGCGCAAGCCUGAUCCAGCGACGCCGCGUGAGGGAAGAAGGCUUUCGGGUUGUAAACUUCUUUUGUCAGGGACGAAGCAAGUGACGGUACCUGACGAAUAAGCCACGGCUAACUACGUGCCAGCAGCCGCGGUAAUACGUAGGGGGCAAGCGUUAUCCGGAUUUAUUGGGUGUAAAGGGCGUGUAGGCGGGGAUGCAAGUCUGAUGUGAAAGGUAUGGGCCCAACCCAUAGCCUGCAUUGGAAACUGUAUUUCUUGAGUGCUGGAGAGGCAAUUGGAAUUCCGAGUGUAGCGGUGAAAUGCGUAGAUAUACGGAGGAACACCAGUGGCGAAGGCGGAUUACUGGACAGUAACUGACGCUGAGGCGCGAAAGCGUGGGGAGCAAACAGGAUUAGAUACCCUUGUAGUC
RNAcentral lists this ribosomal RNA (443 nucleotides) under uncultured bacterium. RNAcentral describes it as "partial 16S ribosomal RNA". It matches the Rfam family "Bacterial small subunit ribosomal RNA", at positions 338 to 795 of the family's 1533-position model. The record is from RNAcentral.